GGUUGGGUCUGAUUUUACCGGUGAGUUUUGAAACUAACAAUGUAUGGGUUCUAUUUGGUUUUCUUACAAACCAUGCCAUACCACACACGCAACUUGUAUUCUCUCUCAUCAAUAUCAACACUUUCUAUUCCUCUCUCUUUGCAUUCCUGACUCUGCAUUCCAUCUCUUUAUCUCAUCUUUCUUCAAUAUCUCCUCUCUGUACCUAACCGCAUUUUCAUCGAAACCGACAGAUCUGAAGUGUAAACCGGCAAUGGUGAUAUGGUCCUGCAUGUGGAUUCACUGUGACUUUGCGAUGAUGAUGGGGUUGCGCGAUUGAAGAUGGUGGAGCAGCUUUCAUAAUUGGAAAGGAAACCAAAUAACAAUAGUGAGAAAAUAUCACAUGAGACAUUUUAUGUUUUGGAGUUUUUAUGGGAAUGAUGGCUUUCUAUGCUUCAACAAAAAAUUUGAGUUUGCAUCUAAGCUAAGAUGUAGAACAUACCCACUUGAUGAUUGGGAUAUGGUGAUUUGCAACAUAACUAUAAUGCAGAAUUAUGUAUUCAUUGCCAUAUGCUACAACUCUCUCACCCUCUAAUCUGCUAUAGAAUCAAUAGGAAUCGGCAGCAAAACCUGAGAAAAAUCCUCAAGAAGUUGAAAGCUAAGAGAAGCCAGAAGAAGAAAAGCAGUCAAAUAACGGUGGAUAUAGGAUAAGUGCUAUGACUAAUUAUAAUAUUGUUGCCUCCGCUACUUCUUAUCUGCACGCUCAGACAAAGAGCAUACUUCCGUUCAAAUAAGGUCUUAACAUGACGGACCCAUAUGUGACAUCUUUGAUUUCAA
Molecule: long non-coding RNA, 813 nt
Organism: Vicia villosa (hairy vetch)
Lineage: Eukaryota; Viridiplantae; Streptophyta; Magnoliopsida; Fabales; Fabaceae
Exons: 4
Source: RefSeq, a predicted model, not a curated record